UGAAUACGAGACGCUAAGGCGUCGAAGUAGUGUAUGUCAUACUUCCAAGAAAAGCUUGCACUGUCAUAGAUAAAAAACGCCUGUACCAUAACCGACACAGGUGGGUAGGUAGAGUAUACUAAGGGGCGCGAGAUAACUCUCUCUAAGGAACUCGGCAAAAUAACUCCGUAACUUCGGGAGAAGGAGUGCCUUAUUCGUAAGGUUGCAAUAACAAGAUCCAAGCAACUGUUUAUCAAAAACACAGGUCUCCGCUAAGUCGUAAGACGAUGUAUGGGGGCUGACGCCUGCCCAGUGCCAGAAGGUUAAAGAAGUUGGUUAGCAAUUGCGAAGCUGAUAACUGAAGCCCUGGUGAACGGCGGCCGUAACAAUAACGGUCCUAAGGUAGCGAAAUUCCUUGUCGGGUAAGUUCCGACCCGCACGAAAGGCGUAAUGAUUUGGAUACUGUCUCGGAGAGGGGCUCGGUGAAAUAGACUUGUCUGUGAAGAUGCGGACUACCUGCACCAGGACAGAAAGACCCUAUGAAGCUUUACUGUAACUUGAAAUUGAAAUUGGACUUUAUUCGCGCAGUAUAGGUGGGAGGCGUUGAUUAUAAUCUUGUGGGAUUAUUGGAGCCAUCAGUGAGAUACCACUCUUGUAAUGUUAGAUUUCUAACUUUGAAUCAUUAUCUGGUCAAAGAACAGUUUCAGGCGGGCAGUUUGACUGGGGCGGUCGCCUCCUAAACGGUAACGGAGGCGUACAAAGGUUUCCUCUGAACGGUUAGAAAUCGUAUCUAGAGUGUAAAGGCAUAAGGAAGCUUGACUGUGAGACCUACAAGUCGAGCAGGGACGAAAGUCGGUCUUAGUGAUCUGACGGUACUGAGUGGAAAGGCCGUCACUCAACGGAUAAAAGUUACUCUAGGAUAACAGGCUGAUCUCCCCCAAGAGUUCACAUCGACGGGGAGGUUUGGCACCUCGAUGUCGGCUCAUCGCAUCCUGGGGCGGUAGUACGUCCCAAGGGUUGGGCUGUUCGCCCAUGAAAGCGGUACGCGAGCUGGGUUCAGAACGUCGUGAGACAGUUCGGUCCAUAUCCGGUGUAGGCGUUAGAAUAUUGAGAGGAGCCUUCUUUAGUACGAGAGGACCGAGAAGGACAUACCUCUGGUGUACCAGUUAUCGUGCCAACGGUAAACGCUGGGUAGCUAUGUAUGGAGUGGAUAACCGCUGAAAGCAUCUAAGUGGGAAGCCCACCUCAAGAUAAGUA
RNAcentral lists this ribosomal RNA (1236 nucleotides) under metagenome. RNAcentral's name for it is "bacterial LSU rRNA". It matches the Rfam family "Bacterial large subunit ribosomal RNA", at positions 1564 to 2810 of the family's 2925-position model. The record is from RNAcentral.